RNAcentral lists this non-coding RNA (24 nucleotides) under Arabidopsis thaliana (thale cress). The record is from RNAcentral. Lineage: Eukaryota; Viridiplantae; Streptophyta; Magnoliopsida; Brassicales; Brassicaceae.
GUUUUAGACUUCAGUUCGCAGCAC